Long non-coding RNA from Vigna unguiculata (cowpea), 655 nucleotides. The record is from RefSeq and is a predicted model, not a curated record. NCBI's taxonomy places the organism in Eukaryota, Viridiplantae, Streptophyta, Magnoliopsida, Fabales, Fabaceae.
UAUGUCCAACUCCAUGCCUUAGAUCUUCUUUUAAAACAUGAUUAAUGGCCUUUUUUUUUUCUAAUUUAACAUUAAUUGGAUGACACAAUCUGGAUAUAGAAUAGGAAUGGUCUCCUUCAUCGUCCGUGAAUCAGAGCGCGGCCCCCACCACCGCUUGAGCUUGCAGCCACCGCUGCUUUGUGCCUUCCUAUUCUCAGUCACUGCCACCGUUGAGGUACUAUGGAUGAAGAUACCUUUGAAAUCCAGCUCCAACGGUUCCGGGAUAGUAUACAAGAAGCAAGCAACAAAAUGGAAUACAAUUUCUUUUUAUUGAAUGAGCUGGCCAGGUUCUGCCCGAAAGGAUUAAGUUAAUCCAAUCUCAGCGGUGGGAUGUAAUAGAAGAAUAUGAAAAAUUAGAGUCAGGGCAACCUGUGACGGUGAGUCCAUGGGUAGACUGUGCUGGACCAUGCGUAUCUUUCGACAAUUGCAACUUUAACUGUCAUAAUUUGGGAUACAAAAGUGGGGCUUUCUGUGCAUUUUUCACUUGUUGUUGUUUUAGAAAUUGAUACACUUUGUACUCUUGAGUAGUGCAUGCCCUCAAAUAAAUGAAUAAAAAACAUUUGCAAUAGUUUUGGUAUAGGGCUGAUUAUCGGGAUUAAAUAUGUUUUAAGUUUUU